CUUGCUUCUCUUGAGAGCGGCGGACGGGUGAGUAAUGCCUAGGAAUCUGCCUGGUAGUGGGGGAUAACGUUCGGAAACGGACGCUAAUACCGCAUACGUCCUACGGGAGAAAGCAGGGGACCUUCGGGCCUUGCGCUAUCAGAUGAGCCUAGGUCGGAUUAGCUAGUUGGUGGGGUAAUGGCUCACCAAGGCGACGAUCCGUAACUGGUCUGAGAGGGUGAUCAGUCACACUGGAACUGAGACACGGUCCAGACUCCUACGGGAGGCAGCAGUGGGGAAUAUUGGACAAUGGGCGAAAGCCUGAUCCAGCCAUGCCGCGUGUGUGAAGAAGGUCUUCGGAUUGUAAAGCACUUUAAGUUGGGAGGAAGGGUUGUAGAUUAAUACUCUGCAAUUUUGACGUUACCGACAGAAUAAGCACCGGCUAACUCUGUGCCAGCAGCCGCGGUAAUACAGAGGGUGCAAGCGUUAAUCGGAAUUACUGGGCGUAAAGCGCGCGUAGGUGGUUUGUUAAGUUGGAUGUGAAAUCCCCGGGCUCAACCUGGGAACUGCAUUCAAAACUGACUGACUAGAGUAUGGUAGAGGGUGGUGGAAUUUCCUGUGUAGCGGUGAAAUGCGUAGAUAUAGGAAGG
This 629-nucleotide ribosomal RNA is filed under the name uncultured bacterium. Its description in RNAcentral is "bacterial SSU rRNA". It matches the Rfam family "Bacterial small subunit ribosomal RNA", at positions 79 to 704 of the family's 1533-position model. The record is from RNAcentral.